This 207-nucleotide ribosomal RNA is filed under the name uncultured bacterium. RNAcentral describes it as "partial 16S ribosomal RNA". It matches the Rfam family "Bacterial small subunit ribosomal RNA", at positions 568 to 774 of the family's 1533-position model. The record is from RNAcentral.
UGUGUAGACGGCAAAGUAAGUCAAUUAUUAAAUCUCCUGGCUUAACCAGGAGUCUGUAGUUGAAACUGUUUUGCUAGAGGAUGGAAGAGAGAAGUGGAAUUCUCGGAGUAGCGGUAAAAUGCGUAGAUCUCGAGAGGAACACCGAUGGCGAAGGCAGCUUCUUGGUCCAUUUCUGACGUUGAGGCACGAAAGCGUGGGGGGCAAACA